CGGCGGACGGGUGAGUAACACGUGGAUAACCUACCUAUAAGACUGGGAUAACUUCGGGAAACCGGAGCUAAUACCGGAUAACAUGUUGAACCGCAUGGUUCAACAGUGAAAGACGGUCUUGCUGUCACUUAUAGAUGGAUCCGCGCCGCAUUAGCUAGUUGGUAAGGUAACGGCUUACCAAGGCAACGAUGCGUAGCCGACCUGAGAGGGUGAUCGGCCACACUGGAACUGAGACACGGUCCAG
This 244-nucleotide ribosomal RNA is filed under the name uncultured Staphylococcus sp. Its description in RNAcentral is "partial 16S ribosomal RNA". It matches the Rfam family "Bacterial small subunit ribosomal RNA", at positions 96 to 334 of the family's 1533-position model. Lineage: Bacteria; Bacillati; Bacillota; Bacilli; Caryophanales; Staphylococcaceae. The record is from RNAcentral.